GGGUGCGUAACACGUAGGUAACCUGCCCCGAAAGGGGGGAUAACCACGGGAAACUGGGCUAAUACCGCAUAAUCUCGCUUGGUGAGGAAAGCGAUUUGGGAGGGGCCUGCGGUCGAUUAGCUGGUUGGUGGGGUAAAGGCCUACCAAGGCGAUGAUCGAUAGCUGUUCUGAGAGGAAGACCAGCCACACUGGAACUGAGACACGGUUCCGACUCCUACGGGGGGCAACAGUGACGAAUAUUGCGCAAUGGGGGAAACCCUGACGCAUCAACGCCGCGUGGAUGAUGAAGGUUUUCGGAUUGUACACUCCUUAACUGGGGGAAGAGCGGUACCCCAGGACCAAGACACUGCUAACUACGUGCCAGCACCCGCGGUAAUACCUACGUGUCUAGCGUUAUCCGGAAUUACUGGGCGUAAAGGGUGCUCAUGCUGCGCCCAAGUCUGGCGUGAAAGCUCCCGGCUUAACUGGGAGA
RNAcentral lists this ribosomal RNA (472 nucleotides) under uncultured bacterium. Its description in RNAcentral is "bacterial SSU rRNA". It matches the Rfam family "Bacterial small subunit ribosomal RNA", at positions 104 to 620 of the family's 1533-position model. The record is from RNAcentral.